Molecule: transfer RNA, 86 nt
Filed under: Thalassiosira oceanica
Lineage: Eukaryota; Bacillariophyta; Thalassiosirophyceae; Thalassiosirales; Thalassiosiraceae
Description: Selenocysteine transfer RNA
Rfam family: Selenocysteine transfer RNA
Source: Rfam by way of RNAcentral
GUGUGGAUGAUCCUGACUGGUGUUGGGUACUGGCUUCAAACCAGUGGGCGUCUAGCGACGCAGUGGUUCGAUUCCACCUUUCGCAC